AGUAAACUUAUGUUUAAGGAGGCUUUCUCACUUGCCUAUGGCAAAACUAUCCGUAAAUGACAGAAUUACAAGACUGUACCACUGGAACAUCGGGUUCGGCAAGUACAAGUGAGAAAGCCAUCAGAAGGAAGGAGAUGAAGUUGCUGGCCCAGCCUCUGAAAACUCUCAGUC
Long non-coding RNA from Prionailurus viverrinus (fishing cat), 171 nucleotides. RefSeq lists it as uncharacterized. The record is from RefSeq and is a predicted model, not a curated record. NCBI's taxonomy places the organism in Eukaryota, Metazoa, Chordata, Mammalia, Carnivora, Felidae. The transcript has 3 exons.